AGAGUUUGAUCCUGGCUCAGAACGAACGCUGGCGGCAGGCCUAACACAUGCAAGUCGAGCGCACCCUUCGGGGUGAGCGGCGGACGGGUUAGUAACGCGUGGGAAUAUACCCGACACUAAGGAAUAGCCACUGGAAACGGUGAGUAAUACCUUAUACGCCCUUCGGGGGAAAGAUUUAUCGGUGACGGAUUAGCCCGCGUUAGAUUAGAUAGUUGGUGGGGUAAUGGCCUACCAAGUCUACGAUCUAUAGCUGGUUUUAGAGGAUGAUCAGCAACACUGGGACUGAGACACGGCCCAGACUCCUACGGGAGGCAGCAGUGGGGAAUCUUAGACAAUGGGCGCAAGCCUGAUCUAGCCAUGCCGCGUGAGUGAUGAAGGCCUUAGGGUCGUAAAGCUCUUUCCCCAGAGAUGAUAAUGACAGUAUCUGGUAAAG
This 433-nucleotide ribosomal RNA is filed under the name uncultured Alphaproteobacteria bacterium. Its description in RNAcentral is "bacterial SSU rRNA". It matches the Rfam family "Bacterial small subunit ribosomal RNA", at positions 8 to 487 of the family's 1533-position model. Lineage: Bacteria; Pseudomonadati; Pseudomonadota; Alphaproteobacteria. The record is from RNAcentral.